CCGAAGUGGUGGAAUUGGCAGACGCGCCGGACUCAAAAUCCGGUGGCCGCGAGGCCGUGCGGGUUCGACCCCCGCCUUCGGCACCAG
Molecule: transfer RNA, 87 nt
Filed under: Moorella thermoacetica ATCC 39073
Lineage: Bacteria; Bacillati; Bacillota; Clostridia; Neomoorellales; Neomoorellaceae
Description: tRNA-Leu
Rfam family: tRNA
About the family: Transfer RNA (tRNA) molecules are approximately 80 nucleotides in length. Their secondary structure includes four short double-helical elements and three loops (D, anti-codon, and T loops).
Source: RNAcentral